GCGCCCGUAGCUCAGAUGGAUAGAGUAUUGGUUUCCGAAGCCAAGGGUCACAGGUUCGACUCCUGUCGGGCGCGCCA
This 77-nucleotide transfer RNA is filed under the name Betaproteobacteria bacterium RBG_16_56_24. Its description in RNAcentral is "tRNA-Arg". It matches the Rfam family "tRNA". From Rfam's summary of the family: Transfer RNA (tRNA) molecules are approximately 80 nucleotides in length. RNAcentral also lists the same sequence under 1 other name. Lineage: Bacteria; Pseudomonadati; Pseudomonadota; Betaproteobacteria. The record is from RNAcentral.